Molecule: ribosomal RNA, 539 nt
Filed under: Filobasidium magnum
Lineage: Eukaryota; Fungi; Basidiomycota; Tremellomycetes; Filobasidiales; Filobasidiaceae
Description: LSU rRNA
Rfam family: Eukaryotic large subunit ribosomal RNA
Source: RNAcentral
GGCGAGUGAAGCGGGAAGAGCUCAAAUUUGAAAUCUGGUGGCCUCAGGUCAUCCGAGUUGUAAUCUAUAGAAGUGUUUUCCGUGCUGGCUCAUGUACAAGUCCCUUGGAACAGGGCGUCAUAGAGGGUGAGAAUCCCGUCCUUGACAUGAACUACCAGUGCUCUGUGAUACAUUUUCAACGAGUCGAGUUGUUUGGGAAUGCAGCUCAAAAUGGGUGGUAAAUUCCAUCUAAAGCUAAAUAUUGGCGAGAGACCGAUAGCGAACAAGUACCGUGAGGGAAAGAUGAAAAGCACUUUGGAAAGAGAGUUAAACAGUAUGUGAAAUUGUUGAAAGGGAAACGAUUGAAGUCAGUCGUGCUCUUUGGAUUCAGCCGGUUCUGCCGGUGUACUUCCUUUGAGUGGGGUCAACAUCAGUUUUGAUCGCUGGAUAAAGGCUGGAGGAACGUAGUACCCUCGGGUAAACUUAUAGCCUCCUGUCACAUACAGUGGUUGGGACUGAGGAACGCAGCACGCCUUUAUGGCCGGGAUUCGUCCACGUAC